AGCGGCGGACGGGUGAGUAAUGCUUAGGAAUCUGCCUAUUAGUGGGGGACAACAUUCCGAAAGGAAUGCUAAUACCGCAUACGUCCUACGGGAGAAAGCAGGGGAUCUUCGGACCUUGCGCUAAUAGAUGAGCCUAAGUCGGAUUAGCUAGUUGGUGGGGUAAAGGCCUACCAAGGCGACGAUCUGUAGCGGGUCUGAGAGGAUGAUCCGCCACACUGGGACUGAGACACGGCCCAGACUCCUACGGGAGGCAGCAGUGGGGAAUAUUGGACAAUGGGCGGAAGCCUGAUCCAGCCAUGCCGCGUGUGUGAAGAAGGCCUUUUGGUUGUAAAGCACUUUAAGCGAGGAGGAGGCUACCUAGAUUAAUACUCUGGGAUAGUGGACGUUACUCGCAGAAUAAGCACCGGCUAACUCUGUGCCAGCAGCCGCGGUAAUACAGAGGGUGCGAGCGUUAAUCGGAUUUACUGGGCGUAAAGCGUGCGUAGGCGGCUGAUUAAGUCGGAUGUGAAAUCCCUGAGCUUAACUUAGGAAUUGCAUUCGAUACUGGUCAGCUAGAGUAUGGGAGAGGAUGGUAGAAUUCCAGGUGUAGCGGUGAAAUGCGUAGAGAUCUGGAGGAAUACCGAUGGCGAAGGCAGCCAUCUGGCCUAAUACUGACGCUGAGGUACGAAAGCAUGGGGAGCAAACAGGAUUAGAUACCCUGGUAGUCCAUGCCGUAAACGAUGUCUACUAGC
RNAcentral lists this ribosomal RNA (731 nucleotides) under uncultured bacterium. RNAcentral's name for it is "bacterial SSU rRNA". It matches the Rfam family "Bacterial small subunit ribosomal RNA", at positions 94 to 820 of the family's 1533-position model. The record is from RNAcentral.